UUAUUAUAAUAAUAAAUUUUAUUGUAAAAUUUAUUAUAAUAUUUAAAUAUAAAUAAUAUUUAUUAAUUUAGUACAAUUAAUAAUUUUAUAAUAAAAAUAAUGUAUUAUAAUAUAUAAUAUAUUAUAUUUAUAUAAUUUAGUUUUAAUUCAAUUUAUAAUUUUAAUUAAGUUUGAAAUUAAGCGUUGGAAUGGCACUAUUCCACCAAAAUAGUGGAAUAACAAAUCUUUUGCUAUUUCGGAAUAACUGGGAAUAGCAAGGUUUGACCGGAAUAAAAUAUUCCGACAACAAAUCUCCCCGUUUAGCAGAAUAGCGGCGAAAACUUUCGUUAUCUCCGCUUAUCCUCCGAACCAAAUGGGGUCUAAGAUUGUGAGUCUCACCAAUUUAUUUAUUUAUUUUUUAAAAUUAAUUAAAAAUUUUUAAUUAUUUUUUCUUAUUAAUUUAGAG
Molecule: long non-coding RNA, 445 nt
Filed under: Ananas comosus (pineapple)
Lineage: Eukaryota; Viridiplantae; Streptophyta; Magnoliopsida; Poales; Bromeliaceae
Description: long non-coding RNA (ACOM_LNC010526)
Source: RNAcentral